AGAGUUUGAUCCUGGCUCAGGAUUAACGCUGGCGGCGUGCCUAACACAUGCAAGUCGAACGAGGUAGCAAUACCUAGUGGCAGACGGGUGAGUAACGCGUGGUCAACCUUCCCUUGAGCGGGGGAUAACUAGCCGAAAGGCUAGCUAAUACCGCAUAACAUCAAAGCCGGCAUCGGCAAUGAUUGAAAGCAGUAAUGCAC
This 200-nucleotide ribosomal RNA is filed under the name uncultured bacterium. RNAcentral describes it as "partial 16S ribosomal RNA". It matches the Rfam family "Bacterial small subunit ribosomal RNA", at positions 8 to 218 of the family's 1533-position model. The record is from RNAcentral.